CAACCCUACACAAGGAUAAAAGCAGACCACAAGUAUUCAGCACCACAGAUGUCACACUUGAUCUGUUCUUCUUAUGCUGGCCGAUCAUCUGCUGGCUGACUUUGCUUUCACUAUCAUUUUGUUCCAAAACUCAACCUCGAGUCUUAAAGGUUAGGUACCUCCUACAGAUAAUAUACUUACUGAGUAAAGGAAAUGAAGAUAAAGAUGAGAUAAAAUAGAACGGAAUAGAAUAUGUAACUGAUCUGUGAGCUCUUGUAGACAUAAAUGUACAAUUCUGUGUCCAAUUCUGGCCACCAUGAUACAAAAAAGAUGCAGAGACCCUAGAAAGUAUGCAGAGAAGAGCAACAAAGAUGAUAAGGGGUAUGGAGGCUAAACUGAUGAACAGUUAAGGGAAUUAGCUAACAAACAAAAGGCUUGGGGUGACAUGAUAGCUACCUUCCAAUACUUGAGGGGCUGUCAUGGGGGGGGGUGUCAACUUAUUUCCCAAAGCACCUGAUAAAAAGCAAUGGGUGGAAGCUCAUUAAGAGAGAUCCAACCUCGAACUAACAAGAAACUGCCUGACGGUGAGAACUGCUUGCCACCCGGUGUUGUGGAUGCUUCAUCAUUUUUCAAGGGAAAAUAGGACACUCAUUUGACUUGAAUGGUAGUAUAUAAGGCUCCUGCCUUGAGCAAGGGGUUGAACUAGAAAACCUCCAAGGUCCCUUACAACCUUAUGAUUCAAUAUUGUGAAGAACUCAGUUAAGGACCUGCCUCUCUUUUGCCAUCUUAACUCUUUCCUCUUCAGAUUCAGAGAAGAAGUUUUUUCCUAUAUGUGCACUAACGUUUGUGCUUACAAACAACCCAUAAACAGAGUCACUUGGCUGAGUUGGGUGGCUAUGGAAAUUGAUUUCCCCACCCAGUUGUCUGCAAUUUAGUUAAGCAACUGGUGGCUGAUGGUAAGUACUGUGGCCCCAUAUAACUUUGGGCAUGUAGGGUAUAAAAUAAAUAACUAAGGGGGCUUCCCUCCAUUGCACUUCUCAUCUUUUAUCUUUAUCUUUUAUUGUUUUGAUGGUAAAUUGUUUGACUGUUACUAAUUUCCCAGAGACACCGAAGAAGCACAAGGCAGCUGACAAAAAACUUUGGAGAUAAUAAACUGUUUCUCAAGAGGCAACCUUUUCUCACAAGAAAGAAAGAAGCUGGUGAGAAAGAUUUGAAGAGUGGGAAAUGAUGGCUGGUGAUGCUCUGAAGUGUUGAAGGUCUGUCCUUUCCUGGUGAUCCUGGGACAAGACUCUUGAAAUAUCCCUGGGUGCAGUCCAGAGAAGAUGGGCGUUGGCUGCAAGGGAGAGACAGCCUUGGGGCAAAGGAAAUCAGGUGCUGGCAGCCCAAGAGAAAAUGCCUGCUGACGUAAUAGCUCAACUCUAUGGAGAAAGGGGGUUGUAGGGAAACAAUUAAUCACUGCCAAAUUCCUAUUCCUAUUUAGCUGAAGCAGAGAAGGGAAGAAGGUGUGGGUGGAAGAUAGGUACUAUGCAUUAACUGCCUCAACAGAAUACUGCAUACAUUAUUCCACAGAGAUAGAAAAUGUUUUCCAUAGUUUACAGAUUAUUUUGGGGUGGUGCAGAAGUCUGGAUUUCCUAUGAAACAGAAGGAUUGGAUCAAUGCUACUCUCCAUUGUGGAAGAUAAGAAUCGGAGGCAAAUAUGGAAGGCCACCAGAUGCUUACCUCCCCAUUAUCUAUGACUGCAACGGAAGAAGUUUGACCGCAGGCAAUGCUGACUGCUACCUUAGCCUGUAAACAAUUGGAGACCCUGCGAGGAGUUGGC
Molecule: long non-coding RNA, 1798 nt
Organism: Ahaetulla prasina
Lineage: Eukaryota; Metazoa; Chordata; Lepidosauria; Squamata; Colubridae
Exons: 3
Source: RefSeq, a predicted model, not a curated record